This 207-nucleotide unclassified non-coding RNA is filed under the name Hevea brasiliensis (rubber tree). Lineage: Eukaryota; Viridiplantae; Streptophyta; Magnoliopsida; Malpighiales; Euphorbiaceae. The record is from RNAcentral.
GUGCUGGAUGUCUGCGGCAACUUGUACUAUCAUAUGGUUCUCCUGUUACACCUGCUGUCGCAGAUAGCUUGCAGAAGCUUUCUAGGUUGCAGUGCGUCAAACUAGAUGGCUGCCAAGUUACAUGCUCUGGACUGAUGGCUAUUGGAAAUUGGUGUGUCUCACUUAGAGAACUGAGCUUAAGUAAAUGUGUGGGAGUGACAGAUGAAG